Molecule: microRNA, 24 nt
Filed under: Pan troglodytes (chimpanzee)
Lineage: Eukaryota; Metazoa; Chordata; Mammalia; Primates; Hominidae
Description: ptr-miR-658
Gene: ptr-miR-658
Source: miRBase by way of RNAcentral
GGCGGAGGGAAGUAGGUCCGUUGG